RNAcentral lists this long non-coding RNA (641 nucleotides) under Triticum aestivum (bread wheat). RNAcentral's name for it is "long non-coding RNA (TAES_LNC007613)". The record is from RNAcentral. Lineage: Eukaryota; Viridiplantae; Streptophyta; Magnoliopsida; Poales; Poaceae.
CCACUUUCAGCCCAAGAAUGCAUUUCAAAUAAACAACGGAUAAUAUAGUGAGUAUAUGUACAUAACUACCAGCAUUCGAGUAACAUGUGCAACAGUACAUCAAAAUUCUCAACAAAUUUAGCAUUACAAGUCAAUAACAUAUAAAGCAAGUCGCUAACUGGGGCUUCAAGCUUUCUCUGAAUAUCUUCAGGUAGAAUUCCUGUAAAUGAGAGGAACAUCCACAUGUUUAGAGUCUCAACAUAGGCAAUAUUUGUUAGCAAUAAAAUAGAAAAAUUAAUUCAAGAACCGUGCAAGAGCCUAGGUUUUACUAUCAUUUUGACACCUUAGAGUAACAUCCAAGAAUACCGCGAGUUGAUGCAUUAUUCUAGCAUAACCAAAUUUGAAACAACCCUUGUUGUUCUAUUUUAACCUUACUACUACCUCUGUUCCUAAAUAUAUGAGAUCUUGGUUCAUUUCAGUAAUUUAGAAAGAGGGGUGAUGGGGCACAAAACCUUGAGCCAUUGUUGUGGGGUUGUGGCUGAUGAAGGUUACCUUUUGGGGCCCCAACGGCAGCUCCGCCAGAUGCAACAGCAACACCUCCAACAACCACAGCAGCAGCACCACCAAUAGUGACCUGCAUGGCAUUUCAGAUCAUCAUUACA